Molecule: long non-coding RNA, 574 nt
Organism: Oreochromis niloticus (Nile tilapia)
Lineage: Eukaryota; Metazoa; Chordata; Actinopteri; Cichliformes; Cichlidae
Exons: 3
Source: RefSeq, a predicted model, not a curated record
AAAGCUGAAAGUUAGCGGCAGAGCUACUUUGACAGUUGUGACUACACCUAAACUUGGCUAAUUGCAGGCACCGAACUGGACCUCUCCGACGUGCUCUGCAGCUCGUUCUACUCCACUCGCUCUGCACAACAGAACAUCCAAACGGCUCAAGUUCUGUCUGCAUCAUUGUCAAGGAAACAUGUUGGUCUGCAUGCUGGGGAUAGGAAUGUAGCUGCUUUGCAGUCAUCGAUGGCAUCGUGCAGCAUUGCUCCCCCUCCCUGGGUCAACUCCUGAGGUUUCUUCCAGCCCAGUAAAAGCUUUCCAGCAGUAUCACAAACAGGAGUUGGAAUCACUGGAACAAACAUGGAUGUCCCUUUUUCCAACCUAAAGACAUUCCUAACAAGAGAAGGAGAGGCAAAAGUUCAGUGAAUGCAAAAGCUAAGCUUGAGCUGAAAAGAGGAAGGAAGUCAAGAACAGAAGCCAAGCAAGGAAGAAGAGGGUGGGGUGGCACUGGGUAGUAGGGAAAUUAAGUAAAUGGCUCUUUUAUAUUGCCUGUGUUCAACUGAAAUGGAAAGUUACUCCAGAUAAAUAAGCU